UAAUCCAAUGCUCUGCGUAGGACUGAAAGCAACACAAUGAGGUGACUUCCCACAACACCAAAGCACAAAUGAUUCUUGACUUUAAUCAAACAAUAGAAAACCACAUAAUUAACUAAACACAUGAAGCAAAGCUAAGAGAUAUGCAUGCUGACGCCUGAUGAUAUUGACCAGCAAAUAAACAUGAGAAAAUCAAAACACUCACAGUGAAACGGUUCUUUUAAUGAAUUGAACAAAAGCAACUUACACAAUUGGAUCAAACAAUAUGAACACAUUGUAAAGCAUCAUUAAUUUUACUGAAAAUAUAGGGAAAAUCACAAGGACAGGAGAAGCAUGACAUGCCAUUCAUAGAAUAUGCUAGCCGCUACACAUCCUGUGUAGCAUAUAUUUAACAUUAAAUAGUUAAUCCCAUGAAAAAUUACUCAAUACUAUUAGUACAUAACUCUCCUCCCAAAUAUAAACAACUAGCGAGAAACCUCCAUCAUUCACAAAAACUGAAAGAUUAUCCAGGCUAUAGAUAGAAAGGUUGGUUGACAGAUCCAACAGUCCAAUCACUGGUCUUAUAUUGCUAAAAAGCAAAUUAGUAAUAUUUGCUAUCCACAGAGGCAAGAGCUAAUAAAAAGACAAUUCUAAACAAUAAACACAGCAAGUACAAACCUUUUUCCAUCUUUCCCAUGGCAA
This 678-nucleotide unclassified non-coding RNA is filed under the name Hevea brasiliensis (rubber tree). Lineage: Eukaryota; Viridiplantae; Streptophyta; Magnoliopsida; Malpighiales; Euphorbiaceae. The record is from RNAcentral.